Molecule: unclassified non-coding RNA, 400 nt
Filed under: Bahiana occidentalis
Lineage: Eukaryota; Viridiplantae; Streptophyta; Magnoliopsida; Malpighiales; Euphorbiaceae
Description: partial external transcribed spacer
Source: RNAcentral
CAUGCUCGUGCAUCGAACUGUUGAAUCGCGAUCCCUUCAUGGUAAGCACAUUUGCGCUCUGUCGCUUAUGGGCAAAGAUUGGGGUUCUUGUGUUGCAUGCCCCACAAAAGUGGAAUUCAAAUAUGUUGCUGUCCCAUUUUCGCCUGGGCCCUAUAUGUGGCAAUGCGGUGAACAACUAUAGUGGGUUCUGUGUUCCAAACAUGCUGAUUCGGCUAUUUUGGCACAUGGGUUGUUGCUCGUACCCUAGGAUGCGGAAUGAAAUAUGUGGCAAAGGGAUCCAAUCCCUUGAUCAGCCUGAUGUCCCGAAAAUAUGAACGACAGAAGCGCUUGUUUUAAGGCCUUGGCAAAAUCGCAAUGUUGGUUUUCUGGGCUUUGUGCGGGCGCCGAUGUCACGAAGGAA